AAAAGCUAUCAUUUUUUUUCAUUCUUUCUUCUUCAACCGUGGGAAAGAACAGAAAAUAGCAGCCAUGGAUGAGCUCCAUUCGGCCAAGCUUUUAUGGCUUAUAUAGAUGAUGAAAAUUGAGACUUGGACCUAGAACGGAAAGAAAUCGAUUUAUGGACGAGUAUGUCCUUUUCACAUUUGUGGUAUCGAGAGUUUCCAGGUUAGCUCGGGUUGGAGGCCGUCAGAGAUAUUAUCACCCUAUCGAGUUAACGUUAUCGGAGUAAGUAAACUUAAGUGAUUCGAGUCUAUGGCAUGUAUAGGGUUUUAAUGUGAGUAUGUAAUAUUAUGAUUUGGCCAAAGGCAUUGGCUUAUUAUUAAGGUAGUAUUAGUCAUGUAAAUUGGCCUAUGUCAGCUAAUGACAUUAUGGGCCCAUAUGAUUAUUCUUAUGCAUGUAUGUUAUUAUCUCUUGUGAUGUGGCUUACAACAUGUAUGCCUAGAGAUUGAAUUGAGAUUCAUUGAUGAGCUAGUAACUAAUGCAGGAUUAAGUGAUUGGUAAAUAGUUAAUAA
This is a long non-coding RNA of Gossypium arboreum, 546 nucleotides long. RefSeq lists it as uncharacterized. The record is from RefSeq and is a predicted model, not a curated record. Lineage: Eukaryota; Viridiplantae; Streptophyta; Magnoliopsida; Malvales; Malvaceae. The transcript is spliced from 3 exons.